Molecule: long non-coding RNA, 2574 nt
Organism: Oncorhynchus mykiss (rainbow trout)
Lineage: Eukaryota; Metazoa; Chordata; Actinopteri; Salmoniformes; Salmonidae
Source: RefSeq, a predicted model, not a curated record
CAGGGCAACAAGAGCAGCUGGCCUCCAGAGAUAGAGAGGGACAGAGAGGUGUAGAGUGAGAGGGGGUGUGUGAGGAAAACAAAACAACAAGAAAAACAGUGAGAGUGAAUGAGUGUGGAAAGACGGCGCCAGAAGAGAGCGACGGAGGGGGAGUGGAGGCAGAGGGGAGGGGAGAGACUUACUGCCAGUGCAAAAGACUAAGGAGAGAGAGCAUAGUAGAGGAGGUACACAGACUCUCUCGGAAGACGAGAGCAGCACAAAGAAGCAGUAAGUGAACACAGACUUUUAAAAGAGAGAAACUGCUGGAAACUGCCAUACAGACAACUGACAACCCAGAGAACUAAAGAUACAGAACCUUUAAAAGGACAAAGGUAAAAUCUUUCAGUCUGGAAAACUGGAAUAAGCUAAUUAGAUGAGGUGAAACGGCGUAGAGGAGACCACACAAGGUAUAGGAAUAAGAAGAGGGGGAUGGUGAAAGAGAGAGUGUUUAAUGGACAUUUGAAAAACUUUGAGAGAAGUGGAUAAACUCUGUACUGAAGUUGGAGAGACUGAUACAUUGCCAAACUCAUUCACUCCCAAAGGUGCUGUGCCAUAAGUUCAAAGCAUUACCCCAAAGCUAUUUGGAUCCAUCCCCAGUCUCCCUCUGUGUGUGACUUGACCAGGGGAAUCCAAGAUGGAGGUGAGGGAGGAGGUGUUGGACAUCCUAAAUAAGGUGUGGACUAAACUACAGAACCUCCCUCAGGCCAACUCGCUGGAGCUGGGGGCCUUCUUCAUAAUCAUCCUCUUCGUCGCCACUUUCCUGUUUAUGAUUGUUCUAUCCUGCGUUCACUGCUGUUGCUGUGGAAAGCCUAAAUACCAGGGCUCCCGGGUCCAACCCUUACAGGCUGUCUGAGGAGUAGGGGACAGUGGCCCAGUUGCAAUACUUAUAAAAUGCACCCUUCCCUCCCUUCAAGGAAGGGAGGAAAGAGCAAAUUCAAGGGAGGAACCAAGGAAGGAGGGAUGCUCUCUAAAGUAUUGGCAUUGCCUGAACAAUGUAGUUUGGAGGGGACAUACAGACUGCUAUGAAGAAUCCAUGUGUGUAUAAAGGCUGAUGAGCAAUGGCAGAAGUCAUUAAGACUACUCAGCAGUAGUUGUAAACAGGACAAUGAUGCACUAGGAACAGAGCACUGUGAGCCUUGUUUCUGCGCUGUUGUUCUGUCUGACUCGGUCUGAGAACACAAACCACUCCAAGGUGGACAAAAACAGAUCUACACAAUUUUUCUCAUGUGAUUUUAACCUGAAAGAGCUGGUUUUAUAUGUUGUGUGUUUUGUAUAAAAAGAUACAUUAGAAAUGCCUUUAGUUUUGUAUCUUGUUCAUUGAAAGGUAUUUUUUCAUGUCCAUAAUUUCAAACCCCUCUCUGUUCUCCUUUAAGACCCCACUGGGAAAAGUUCUGAAGUUCCAAACUUGUUUUCAUUUAGCUCUGUUUUCCACGGGAACGGGACAGACCAAUAGAGAGUGCCCUCUGCUGUUGCAAUGAGCACAAAACAUUUAAGCCUAGUGGUUGCAAGGGGCCAGUAACCGAAAGGUUGCUGGAUCGAAUCCCCGAGCUGACAAUGUAAAAAUCUGUUGUUCUGCCCCUGGUCAAGGCAGUUAACCCACUGUUCCCCAGUAGGCAUUCAUUGUAAAUAAGAAUUUGUUCUUAACCUUUAUUUAACUAGGAAAAUCAGUCUGUGCCAAAGCAAAAAGUGGUGUUGCGACCUUGUCUAAGAGCAUUUCGUAUUAUUCUGUAUGUCAAUCCGAAACACCCCAUAUAGUAUGUUAUGAUACAUUUCGUAUGGUAUAAAUAAAGGUUAAAUAAUGUUUUUUUAAUGUAUUAAUUAGUGGAUAUCUAUUACCCAUUUCAUAUGAUUUGUCACGAAUUACAAUUCGUAUUAUAUGUUACGAAUGUGCAAAACGUGCAAUAUGUCAUGAAUUUGCUAAAUGUACAAUACAGAGAAUGAUCAAAAUGUAUGAUAUGUUAUGAAUUCUAGGUAGGUUGCUAGGUGGCUAACAAUAGCUCGCUCGCUAACGUUAGCUAGGCUAGGGGUUAGGGUUAGCUAACAUGCUAAGUAGUUUCAAAGUAGUUAAAAUGUAGUAGGUCGUUGGAAAGUUGCUAAUUAGCUAAAAUGUUAAUGUUGUCCUUGAUGAGAUUCAAACUUUCAACUUUUGGGUUGCUAGACCUUCGCAUUAUACGCCUGACCAACCACCCAACUUUUCAUUUUUGCCUUGAGUAACCAUCUGUCUUAUGUAUCCAUACCAAAUGCAUCUCAGAUUUAAGUACAGAAUAACACAAAAUUCCCUGAGACCAGAUUCAGUAUUAAUGCAGUAUUGUAGAAAUAGGUCACCUUAUAAAUGGUGAUUCGUGAUUAUUCGUGGUUAUACCAUCUCUGAUUGCACAGUACUUGAUUAUAAUUCAUUUAGAGUGAAACAAGCAGUGUUUUUAUCUUAUAUUGAUCUGUAGUUGUUACAGGAGCAAUGUGUUUGUUUACAAGUUUAGCAUUAUUUAAUGUUUAAGUGCUAAUAAAAGUAAGUACAAUAAAGAAUUAAAAAAUGUA